CCUCCAUGGAAUGAGUUUGACACAUUCUUAACGCCAUGAAAAACGAUAAAACAGCCCUUUACUAAUCGUGACUUGUCAAUAUUCUAGGACCUGAAUGCUUGAUGCUUUGAAUAAAUGUGCGACUUUACCUGCCAGAAUAAAUCAUCCCUGAUGACCACAGAAAGUUGUACAAUUGCCAACAGGAAACUAGUUAACCUUUCACCAUUGAGGAUAAGCAUUGACUCCGGUGGAGUGGUCUGCAUGUCAUUCCAGUAACGCUGUGGUGAACUCAAACGGAGAGAGUGGAGGGGAGGGGAGGGCCAGUCUGCUGCUUUCUCCCUCUGGAGAAGAGUUCUCCGUAGGCUUCACCUGCACGUUUAGUCACAACGCCACAGGCCUCGGAGCCAAGAGCCAGUCACUGAACACACAAGACAACCAAACCUGUAUUUCAAAGACUCCUUCUCAAAGAAGUAACACGUGCUGAGCAGCCCAAGAGUGGUCCAGCACUAUGUCUCCUGUGUUCCUUUGGUGUGGUGCUGCCCUUGCUCUCUGGCCCUUCUCCUCUGGAGCACCCAGCCCUCUGGCGAGAAGAACAGGGGAGACAGCAGAAGAGCUAGGCAGGGAGCAUGAGCCCCCACUUCGGUCAAUCCGCUCAUGCCUCUCUAUUCCUACUCCCCGCUUACAAGCAGAAACUCAAGAGGGAGCCACCAACACAGAGAAUAGUGAGGCGCUGGACAGAGGAGGCAAAAUCAGUGCUGCAUGACUGUUUUGAGAAUACUGAUUGAAAAGUUCAUCCACCCAGGACUCAUCCAUCAACAUUGAGGAUAAUAUACGGAACAAAAAUAUAAAUGCAACAUGUGAAGUGUUGGUCCAAUGUUUAAUGAGCUGAAAUAAAAGAUCCUAGAACUUGUCCAUAUGUAUAAAAGCUUAUUUCUCUCAAAUUUUGUUCACAAAUUGGUUUACAUCCCUGUUAGUGAG
This is a long non-coding RNA of Oncorhynchus nerka (sockeye salmon), 957 nucleotides long. RefSeq lists it as uncharacterized. The record is from RefSeq and is a predicted model, not a curated record. Lineage: Eukaryota; Metazoa; Chordata; Actinopteri; Salmoniformes; Salmonidae. The transcript is spliced from 3 exons.